ACUCAAAUGAAUUGACGGGGGUCUAUACAAGUGGUGGAACAUGUGGUUUAAUGCGAUACUACGCGCCUAACCUUACCAGUUCUUGACAUGAAUAAAUUAAUUAUUCUCAGGUGUUGCAUGGCUGUCGUCAGCUCGUGUUGUGAUAUGUUUGGUUAAGUCCCUUAACGAGCGCAACCUCUAUUUGCUGUUAAAUAUUACACUGCAAAAACUGCCUUUGACAAAAAGGAGGAAGGUGGAGAUGACGUCAAGUCCUUAUGGCCCUUAUGAACUGGGCUACACACAUGUUACAAUGGCAUAUACAAAAUGUUACAAUGUUUAAUUCAAAGUCAAUCAUUAACCUUUGCCUUAGUUCGGAUUGAAGGCUGGAACUUGCUUUCAUGAAGGUGGAAUCACUAGUAAUCGUGGAUCAGGAUGCCACGGUGAAUUUGUGCCUGGACCUUGUACACACCGCCCGU
RNAcentral lists this ribosomal RNA (455 nucleotides) under uncultured bacterium. RNAcentral describes it as "partial 16S ribosomal RNA". It matches the Rfam family "Bacterial small subunit ribosomal RNA", at positions 899 to 1397 of the family's 1533-position model. The record is from RNAcentral.